GGUUUGUACCGGACAAUCGCGUCUAGCAAUAGAUGAGGAAAGUCCGAACACAGCCUUGUCGCAAGACAACGGAGCAAGUAGCGGGUAAUUCCCGCCUGGAGCAAUCCAUGAGGUGCGAGCAGAGACGCUGAUGCUGAAAAGCUAAGGUUCCAUUCACUAUCGCAAGAUAGAUAAUGGAAUAGGUCUGUCGUAAGACAGAAUUGAAACGGCUAAACCCUUACUUCUGUGCAAGACCGUGCUAGUUGCGCAUUCGCAAGUUUGCGUAACAUGAGAGUCGCUUGAGCCCGCCAGCAAUGGCGGGCCUAGAUAAAUGAUUGUCGUGUAUGUCGCAAGACGUACAUACAGAAUUCGGCUUAUAGGUACAAAUCACAA
RNAcentral lists this RNase P RNA (372 nucleotides) under Minisyncoccota bacterium. RNAcentral's name for it is "RNase P RNA component class A". It matches the Rfam family "Bacterial RNase P class A". Rfam says of the family: Ribonuclease P (RNase P) is a ubiquitous endoribonuclease, found in archaea, bacteria and eukarya as well as chloroplasts and mitochondria. Its best characterised activity is the generation of mature 5'-ends of tRNAs by cleaving the 5'-leader elements of precursor-tRNAs. Lineage: Bacteria; Bacillati; Minisyncoccota. The record is from RNAcentral.